Molecule: ribosomal RNA, 433 nt
Filed under: uncultured bacterium
Lineage: Bacteria
Description: partial 16S ribosomal RNA
Rfam family: Bacterial small subunit ribosomal RNA
Source: RNAcentral
AACGAACGCUGGCGGCAUGCCUAACACAUGCAAGUCGAACGAGACCUUCGGGUCUAGUGGCGCACGGGUGCGUAACGCGUGGGAAUCUGCCCUUGGGUUCGGAAUAACAGUGAGAAAUUACUGCUAAUACCGGAUGAUGUCUUCGGACCAAAGAUUUAUCGCCCAGGGAUGAGCCCGCGUAGGAUUAGCUAGUUGGUGGGGUAAUGGCCUACCAAGGCGACGAUCCUUAGCUGGUCUGAGAGGAUGAUCAGCCACACUGGGACUGAGACACGGCCCAGACUACUACGGGAGGCAGCAGUGGGGAAUAUUGGACAAUGGGCGCAAGCCUGAUCCAGCAAUGCCGCGUGAGUGAUGAAGGCCUUAGGGUUGUAAAGCUCUUUUAACCGGGAUGAUAAUGACAGUACCGGGAGAAUAAGCUCCGGCUAACUCCGUG